CAGCAGCCGCGGUAAUACGUAGGGUGCAAGCGUUAAUCGGAAUUACUGGGCGUAAAGCGUGCGCAGGCGGCUUUGCAAGACAGAUGUGAAAUCCCCGGGCUCAACCUGGGAACUGCAUUUGUGACUGCAUGGCUAGAGUACGGUAGAGGGGGAUGGAAUUCCGCGUGUAGCAGUGAAAUGCGUAGAUAUGCGGAGGAACACCGAUGGCGAAGGCAAUCCCCUGGACCUGUACUGACGCUCAUGCACGAAAGCGUGGGGAGCAAACAGGAUUAGAUACCCGCGUAGUCCCUGUCUCUUAUAC
Molecule: ribosomal RNA, 301 nt
Filed under: uncultured bacterium
Lineage: Bacteria
Description: partial 16S ribosomal RNA
Rfam family: Bacterial small subunit ribosomal RNA
Source: RNAcentral